AGUGAACGCUGGCGGUAGGCCUAACACAUGCAAGUCGAACGGCAGCACAGUAAGAGCUUGCUCUUACGGGUGGCGAGUGGCGGACGGGUGAGGAAUACAUCGAAAUCUACUUUUUCGUGGGGGAUAACGUAGGGAAACUUACGCUAAUACCGCAUACGACCUACGGGUGAAAGCAGGGGAUCUUCGGACCUUGCGCGAUUGAAUGAGCCGAUGUCGGAUUAGCUAGUUGGCGGGGUAAAGGCCCACCAAGGCGACGAUCCGUAGCUGGUCUGAGAGGAUGAUCAGCCACACUGGAACUGAGACACGGUCCAGACUCCUACGGGAGGCAGCAGUGGGGAAUAUUGGACAAUGGGCGCAAGCCUGAUCCAGCCAUACCGCGUGGGUGAAGAAGGCCUUCGGGUUGUAAAGCCCUUUUGUUGGGAAAGAAAAGCAGCAGGUUAAUACCCCGCUGUUCUGACGGUACCCAAAGAAUAAGCACCGGCUAACUUCAUG
Molecule: ribosomal RNA, 492 nt
Filed under: uncultured bacterium
Lineage: Bacteria
Description: partial 16S ribosomal RNA
Rfam family: Bacterial small subunit ribosomal RNA
Source: RNAcentral